This 240-nucleotide unclassified non-coding RNA is filed under the name uncultured Helotiaceae. RNAcentral describes it as "sequence contains ITS2". The stretch from base 1 to 52 matches the Rfam family "5.8S ribosomal RNA", at positions 103 to 154 of the family's 154-position model. Lineage: Eukaryota; Fungi; Ascomycota; Leotiomycetes; Helotiales; Helotiaceae. The record is from RNAcentral.
AACGCACAUUGCGCCCCGUGGUAUUCCGCGGGGCAUGCCUGUUCGAGCGUCAUUAUGACCAAUCCCGUUCUGCGGGGUCUUGGGCACCGCCUCCGGGCGGGCCUCAAAACCAGUGGCGGUCCGGCCGGGCUCUGAGCGUAGUAAAUCUUCUCGCUAUAGGGUCCCGGGCGGCACUGGCCAGCAACCCCCGAUCUUUCACAGGUUGACCUCGGAUCAGGUAGGGAUACCCGCUGAACUUAA